This 252-nucleotide ribosomal RNA is filed under the name uncultured bacterium. RNAcentral describes it as "partial 16S ribosomal RNA". It matches the Rfam family "Bacterial small subunit ribosomal RNA", at positions 524 to 776 of the family's 1533-position model. The record is from RNAcentral.
GACAGAGGGGGCAAGCGUUGCUCGGAAUCACUGGGCGUAAAGGGCGCGUAGGCGGGAUGGCAAGUCGGUCGUGAAAUCCUUCGGCUCAACCGAAGAACGUCGGCCGAUACUGCCGUUCUUGAGGGAUGCAGAGGAGAUUGGAAUUCCCGGUGUAGCGGUGAAAUGUGUAGAGAUCGGGAGGAACACCGGUGGCGAAGGCGGGUCUCUGGGCAUCUCCUGACGCUGAGGCGCGAAAGCGUGGGGGCAAACGGG